UACAGAGGGUGCAAGCGUUAAUCGGAAUUACUGGGCGUAAAGCGUGCGUAGACGGUUGCGUAAGUCAGAUGUGAAAGCCCCGGGCUCAACCUGGGAAUUGCAUUUGAGACUGCGUAGCUAGGGUGCGGAAGAGGGAAGCGGAAUUUCCGGUGUAGCGGUGAAAUGCGUAGAUAUCGGGAGGAACACCAGUGGCGAAGGCGACUUCCUGGCCUGUUCUUGACGCUGAGGCGCGAAAGCUAGGGGAGCAAACGGG
This 253-nucleotide ribosomal RNA is filed under the name uncultured bacterium. Its description in RNAcentral is "partial 16S ribosomal RNA". It matches the Rfam family "Bacterial small subunit ribosomal RNA", at positions 524 to 776 of the family's 1533-position model. The record is from RNAcentral.